GUCGGGUAGGCUGCGGAGCUAUGAGGCUGGAAGGUGUCGCGCGUGAGCGAGCCCAGCCCAAGUUGCACACACGCAUGUGGGCUUCCCUAACCGACACGGGUGAAGUGUGUGAUGUGUGUGGGGAAGGGGAAGAGAUGGUGUGUUCUUGGACUUCUUUUCACCACAUGCUCCAUGUGAUUUUUAAACCCCAAUUCAGUAAAUUCACAUGGUAAUUAUCCUCUAU
This 223-nucleotide long non-coding RNA is filed under the name Carica papaya (papaya). RNAcentral's name for it is "long non-coding RNA (CPAP_LNC010711)". Lineage: Eukaryota; Viridiplantae; Streptophyta; Magnoliopsida; Brassicales; Caricaceae. The record is from RNAcentral.